This 591-nucleotide ribosomal RNA is filed under the name uncultured bacterium. RNAcentral's name for it is "partial 16S ribosomal RNA". It matches the Rfam family "Bacterial small subunit ribosomal RNA", at positions 355 to 1375 of the family's 1533-position model. The record is from RNAcentral.
UGGGGAAUUUUGGACAAUGGGCGAAAGCCUGAUCCAGCAAUGCCGCGUGUGUGAAGAAGGCCUUCGGGUUGUAAAGCACUUUUGUCCGGAAAGAAAUCCUUGGCUCUAAUACAGUCGGGGGAUGACGGUACCGGAAGAAUAAGCACCGGCUAACUACGUGCCAGCAGCCGCGGUAAUACGUAGGGUGCAAGCGUUAAUCGGAAUUACUGGGCGUAAAGCGUGCGCAGGCGGUUUGCUAAGACCGAUGUGAAAUCCCCGGGCUCAACCUGGGAACUGCAUUGGUGACUGGCAGGCUAGAGUAUGGCAGAGGGGGGUAGAAUUCCACGUGUAGCAGUGAAAUGCGUAGAGAUGUGGAGGAAUACCGAUGGCGAAGGCAGCCCCCUGGGCCAAAUACUGACGCUCAUGCACGAAAGCGUGGGGAGCAAAACAGGAUUAGAUACCCUGGUAGUCCACGCCCUAAAACGAUGUCAACUAGUUGUUGGGGAUUCAUUUCCUUAGUAACGUAGCUAACGCGUGAAGUUGACCGCCUGGGGAGUACGGUCGCAAGGAUUAAAAACUCAAAUGGAAUUGACGGGGUCAUAGCUGUUUCCU